Molecule: small RNA, 57 nt
Filed under: Actinophytocola xinjiangensis
Lineage: Bacteria; Bacillati; Actinomycetota; Actinomycetes; Pseudonocardiales; Pseudonocardiaceae
Description: Actinophytocola sp. QAIII60 F6 TB sRNA
Rfam family: F6 TB sRNA
Source: Rfam by way of RNAcentral
CGGGUUGCCCCGUGUUGCUGACGGACCCCCGACCUGGCAGCAACACGGGGUUUCCUC